AAAAAGUUUGAUUCUUGCUUAUAGUUUUUGUUCUUAAGUUGUGUUACACAUGCAUACUUUGGUGGGUAUGAGGAGGGUUGAGCGUUUAAGAUGUUUGCCACAAAAGACAGGAGAAGUUCGCAGUGUGGAGUUUUAAUGAUUGAAUAAAGGUUUGAUUUAGUAAAUUUAAGAAAACUUGAUUAAAUUUUGUGCCAGCAGUCGCGGUUAGACUUAGAAGUUGAAUGAAAAUGUUUCGGUGAAAGUUAUAAUGGGGUUUAGAGGUUAAUCAAGAUUUAGGAUGAUAAAAGGUGGAAUUAGUUUUGUUUGGGGAUAAAUUGAGAUUAAAGUUUAAAUUGAAAGAAGCUUAGGAAGUUGAGGUAUAAACCAGGAUUAGAUACCCUGUUAUACUCAGAAUGAAUAAAUAAACUUGAGUAUUAAUAGUUAUGGGCUUUAAAUUCAAAGAAUUUGGCGGUAUUUUAGUCUUGUUAGAGGAACCUGUUCUGUUAAUGAUACUACACGAAGAAUCUUACUUGCUUUUGUUUUUCAGUUUGUAUACCGUCAUUAUUAGAUAACCUUUGUUGAGAGAGUUAUUGAAACGCAAGGAGUUAAAUAUAUUAGAUCAAGGUGCAGCUUAUAGGUAAGUAGAAAUGGGUUACAGUAGAAUUUUUUAUGUUCGGAUUAAUAAUUGAAUAAUUGUUAUGAAGGUGGAUUUAAUUGUAAUAAAAAUUUAAUAAGUUAAUAUGAUAUGAGAACUAAAAUAUGUACAUAUCGCCCGUCGCUUCCAUUUAAGGUGGAAUAAGUCGUAACAUAGUAGGUGUACUGGAAAGUGCACCUAGAAUUAG
RNAcentral lists this non-coding RNA (821 nucleotides) under Cherax cartalacoolah. The record is from RNAcentral. Lineage: Eukaryota; Metazoa; Arthropoda; Malacostraca; Decapoda; Parastacidae.